CGGGAAGUAGCUGAGACAGACUAGCACCGCUCUGAAAAAGCGGAGACGCGGAUGCAAGCGCCGCCUUCCCGGCCA
This is a transfer RNA of 75 nucleotides. It matches the Rfam family "tRNA". From Rfam's summary of the family: Transfer RNA (tRNA) molecules are approximately 80 nucleotides in length. Their secondary structure includes four short double-helical elements and three loops (D, anti-codon, and T loops).